AAUUGAGGAAAUAAGAAAAAGAAGGGGAAGAAGCCAGAGUGCAGAGAGUAUAAAAGCUGGAAAAAAAUAGAUAAGCUUUUAUGUAGUGAGGAUCGAGGGGUAAAUUAGUAGAUGGAAUCAGGAGCUCAAUUAGCUAAUCUCUCGUACCUAGGUGUGUAUAAAUUACACUUUUAAUUUUACAUAUUUUACUUGAUUGAUUGUUAUGUGUUAAAUUGGAGUGAACAUUUGAAUUAUAUGAUGUGAGUCUGAAAUGGUUAUGUGUUAUUUGAUACUGAUGGUGUAAUAUAAUGUGGAUAUGUAAUUUGUGCAAUGGAUAUGUUUAUCUAUGGUAUUGGAGUUAUUGAUGGAAUAUAUGGAUAUGUAAUUGGUGCAAUGGAUAUGUUUGAUGUA
Long non-coding RNA from Salvia splendens (bonfire salvia), 390 nucleotides. RefSeq lists it as uncharacterized. The transcript has 2 exons. NCBI's taxonomy places the organism in Eukaryota, Viridiplantae, Streptophyta, Magnoliopsida, Lamiales, Lamiaceae. The record is from RefSeq and is a predicted model, not a curated record.